AGGUAACGAAGUUCCUAAGAUAAUGUCAUCCUCCUGGAGGAAUUAACUCAUGGUGAAAAUUCAGUUGUGGUUCACAGGCUGCUGUGAUUAAUUCAGAUCAAGUAACAUCUGAAGAGUACUUUGCAAAUCACAAAAUUCUUUCUCCUGAGUAACCUCAGAAUUUUCACAACCACCUAACAUACAAAGAGUCCUACAAGCCCUCUUUCAAGGAAAGAAUUUCACUCAAAAUAUUUAAGGAUUUGUCCAAAAUUCUAAAGAAGCUCAUAGAACAGAUUCACCAAAAACAAGACUUGACACUGAACUUAACUUGAUGCUGGCAUAAUCUUAAACUUGAACAUCACCAAAACUGCAUAAUAUCUACUGAGCCUAAGCUUUUGAAGAUGUCAACACACAUUUUAUAUCCAUGGCAUCUCAAAAAUUAGAGUCAUUGUAAAGCAAAAGGCAUUGGAAAUUAAAUAAGAUGACCUAUUCCACACUGUAUUUUUGAAGUUUCACAUUGUUUCAAAUAAAAUUGUACAACAUGUGUUUUCAUUUUCUCCAUGGGACUCAUCCUUUAUCCUCCCUAAGGCAUGGAUGAUAAAUAAGAAUUUCAUAAAUAAGGGAAAGUCCAGGAGCCGGGAGACCUGGAUCUGAGUUUCAAAGUCAUUCUCUGAGCAAGAAGGAAUGCUGACAAUGACUACAGGGACUUUGUCUCAUCUGUUCACCUUUUCCCUGAGCACUUCGAACAGCACCUUACACGAAGCAGUGGUCAGAGGGAGAAAGGAGAGAAAAUCCUGAGCAGACGUCAUACUGAAUGCAGAGCCCUAGGAAGGGCUCUAUCCCUUGAGUCUGAGAUCGUGACCUGAGCCAGCAGAGUCAGACACAACCAACUACACCACCCAGGCAUCUGGAUCUUUCACCAUUAAAUAUCAUAUCAGCUAUACACCUAUUGCAGAUUAAGCUUA
Molecule: long non-coding RNA, 944 nt
Organism: Canis lupus familiaris (dog)
Lineage: Eukaryota; Metazoa; Chordata; Mammalia; Carnivora; Canidae
Exons: 7
Source: RefSeq, a predicted model, not a curated record